UUUCCUUCAGGAUAGCUUGUGCUUUCGUGGGCACCUAGUUUUAUUCAAUAAAAUGAGUGAUUGGAGACUUUGGGGACUAAAUGAUCUCAACUUUUUCUCAGCCUUUACAUGGGUGAGAAGCCCAGCCAGUAUCUCGUGGGCCACUUUUGGUCGGCAGAACUGCAGGAUGAACAG
This 174-nucleotide non-coding RNA is filed under the name Camelus bactrianus (Bactrian camel). RNAcentral's name for it is "Eukaryotic large subunit ribosomal RNA". It matches the Rfam family "Eukaryotic large subunit ribosomal RNA", at positions 967 to 1170 of the family's 3401-position model. Lineage: Eukaryota; Metazoa; Chordata; Mammalia; Artiodactyla; Camelidae. RNAcentral also lists the same sequence under 1 other name. The record is from Rfam by way of RNAcentral.